AUCUAACUACGAUAAUAACGAAUGUCUAUAUUUUACCAAAAAUGCAACAUACAUGUUAAUCAACAAUAAAAUUUCAUCAUUUUCUGAUGCAAUAAAAAAAACAAGUAAUUAUCUUUGCACCCCAUUACUUCAUAACAUGCAAUCAACCAAAUCCAUAGCAACCAAUGGGAAGGCACAAUUUCUUCCUCAAAGUUUGUUCUUCUUCUUCAUUCCAUAUAUACAUAUAAAAUAGGCAAAAGUCUGAAAUCACCAAAAUUAUUUUUUGAACUCUCAAAAUAAGACCCUUACCCUGUGUGGUGGCACCAUGGCAUUCCCCAU
This 318-nucleotide long non-coding RNA is filed under the name Elaeis guineensis (African oil palm). Its description in RNAcentral is "long non-coding RNA (EGUI_LNC044978)". Lineage: Eukaryota; Viridiplantae; Streptophyta; Magnoliopsida; Arecales; Arecaceae. The record is from RNAcentral.